CUGUUCUCGUGGAUGUAGAACAAACACUACCUCUAUUCUCAACAACAACAAAAAAACACUACCUCUAACAUGGAAAAGAGCUCAGUUCAUGUGUCAUGAUUUUGGAUCUUUCUUUGGCAGGCCAAACUCAGCGUGGUUUUCGAGCUGCCAUGGAUGAGAUUGAGAUAACAUCAGGUAUCACCUUAGGCCCUAUAUGCUUGCUCGUGCCCUUAAUGAGUAUAAAUGGCUUCUUAAUGAAUAAUUAAUGGUGGUAUUUUGUUAGGCUCCAAAGAACAGUCAAAUGCUGCUAAUAACAACCAACAUAAUUGUAAGGAACCAUCACGUAACAUGUGGUUUUCUUGUUAUUUUGUUGAUGCACUUAACAGCUGUCCUGAGAUUAUUGUGAAAAUUUAGAUAAUAUAGAACAGUUUGGGCAACCAAAGACAGAGCCUAACAUCCCGAAAGGAGUUGACAAGAGCCUUAGAUCAGCUCAAAAUGAAAAUGAAUGAUUGGACUUGUUUGGCGCAUGAAACUAAAAUUUAAUACCCCUCUGAUCCAAAAAAAGUGUCGCAGCUUUGAACUAAGGAACUAGACCGAUGGCAGAGGCCUCAGUGAAGGUCCUAAUCCCCUGAUGAUGUUCAAUUUGUGCAUAAGGAAUAUGAACUGAAGGUUAACCGUAAAGAAAGCAGGCUGGCAUCGACAACUUAAAUCCUGUUGUUUGGUUUAUGCUGUUUUGGCCAAGCUUAAAAGAAUCUCAACGAAAGACUGAAGAGAAUGAGCAGCAAGAGUACAUCAUCUGCGGAACACCUGGUGGCAUCCAGUACGUUGGUGAGCUUGACGACAACUGUUACUGGGGCAAUGAGGUGAAGCUCUAUGAGCACCAAGUAGACACCCUCUUUGCUAUGUUUUGGCACAAAGAGCCAGACAUCAAGUACUACGUGUGCACAAUCAACAAGACGUUUGCCAAACCAGGCCAGCGCAUGUAUUUUCAGGUUAACUAUACUGAAGAGAACCUACUGGACUACAUUGAUCCAAACAAUGAUACACUCAUGGUCAGACUUGCAGACGGCCAUCUGCUUGCCGAAUGUCGCAUGAUGCUAGGAACUGACAAGAGGGCCACUAUAACCACCAACUGGUCUGAGUUUCGUCGCCGCGCCAACAUUCGCGAAGGAGACAUCUGUGCAUUUCGUUUCAGGAUAACUUCAAAGCGCCGCCUGGUCCUCACCGUGCACCGCCUCUAGAUGCACCAUCGAAAACGCUGCAGCCCCUGUGUCAAUAUAAUCUAAUAUAAUGUAGCACUAAGUACUCCUAAUUAUGCUAUAUCCUGUGAUAACCUAUCGUUUGCUUUUGGGCCCUCUUAUCACAUGCUUUUCAAGACACUAAACCUAUGUUGCUGCUUAUGUUAUGUGCACUAUUGUCUGUCAGAUGUUUCAUGUUCAGAACCAUAAUGGGCUUUCUCUGUACAGUCUAUAUUUCUAUUUUUGCUGCUAAGUUUCUUAAUUAAAGUAAUCAUCCCAAACGCUAAUUAGAAUAGAAAAGAGUGUUAAAGGGGCGAGUACAACCAGGCACCACCCAGCUCCCCCUCAAGAGACGCGCCACGGGCGCGCCCCAACACCUAGUUGCUUUUAUGGGGACCAUACUUGAUUGAUCUCUUCUGUAUCCUAUAAUUUUAUUUGUUUUAUAUAGAAGUACAAUUUUAUAUGAAAUACUCGGCAAGUCGCAUUCGCAGUGAGAUACUAAAAUAUUAAGAGGCUUUCUUUACGUUCUCUGUGACCAGAGCCCAAUCAGGCACUUCAAUGUUCAGCCUUGAUAUAAUCUGAAUGCUGCAAGUGAUACUAGUUAGUUCAUGAUAUGGGAAAGUAGUCGUAUGGGGUUGAUCAAAUUAGAUAAUUUUUUGCUACAUUUCAUAAAGUUUAAUUUCCAUGAAUUAGUGUUUCUCAAUUUGUUUUUCAGGUACCUGCUAUUAUCUGUGUCUGCAACUUGAUACUCAUGUUACAGGUCUGAGUGUCUUCUUAAAGUUUAAUUCAUCUAUUUUUUUCCUCAGCUCAAAUGGGAGUUUUUUUGGAGGAACCAAAUCGAUGGAAUUCUAUAUUGUUUACUAGAUGGUCAACUUGGCAUGUAAAGGAUUACGUCUCGGCUGGAGCAAUGCUUUUGAUAUUGUCCGUUGUUCAAAUGUCAUCACAAUAGGAGCUGCCAGGGCAUUUAUGGCAAUAUUAACUUUGAUUAAUUUUGAUUCAAUUUUUCAUCGCAAAAAUAAAACUCUGUUUCAGUUUUAAAGAAUUAAUAUGGUUUGUUUUUGAACCAUGCAGGAGAGCUGCAUGUGAUUAUAUAGAUAGGAAGAAACAAGUGGUCCAAACGACCAUUACAACCUUAGCCAUUACAAAGAAACUCCAACUGAGAAACAAAAGUGACCUGCAUGUACAACUUCAUGGUCACUAGUGUCAGCAUGGAAGGUGUUUUAGUAGAAGAAGAUCUAAAUGGGCGUGCUUCUACGUGUGGCUCAUUAAGUUUCUUGGGAAUACCUGCUCCAGCUGCUGCAGGUUCUGUGCUUCAGUGCGCGCUGGAGGGAUUGGAUCGCCUGGCUACUGUCAACCUCUUCUUCCUCGUUCCUGCUCAAUGGAUGGCUAGGACAGGCUGUGCUUCAUCGCCAUGGUUUAACGCAGGGUGAUCCUCUGUCGCCUUUUCUCUUCAUUAUCGCGAUUGAUCCUCUCCAUCGAUUGAUUCAGAGAGCAGCUGAGCUCUAACUGAUUGAUCCUCUGCCGAGGAGAGCAGCCUGUACGGGGAUGAUGCAGUUCUUUUUGGAAGCCCAAGGAAGGAAGAAGUGGACAUGCUCAUGCAGAUUCUGAAUGACUUCGGAAACGCGUCUGGACUGAAGAUAAACCCUCAAAAAUCAACUGUCACACCCAUCAGAUGCAAGGACAUCAACCUCUGAUGUUCUUCGAAAUUUUGGAUGGCAAACCACUAGCUUCCCUUUGAGAUACCUUGGUCUGCCAAUCACAACCUCGCGGCUUCGGAUAGUUCAUCUGCAGUUCAUCCUUGAUCGCAUUAGGGCACGGCUGGCAGGAUGGAAGGGCAAACUCAUGAAGAUAGCUGGAAGACAGGUGCUGGUUUGUUGUGUUCUCUCUCUGCUGCCUGCAUUCGCUAUCUCUGUCCUCAAGGUCCCAAAAAGAUUUUUUAAAGAUGUGGACAAGGCGCGGCGUCGCUUCCUAUGGGCACAAGACAAAGAGCUCACCAGCGGCAAGUGUAAGGUGAACUAGCCUAUGGUUUGCUCCCCGAUAGCUAGUGGUGGCCGCGGCAUCCAGGAUAUGCAACAAUUCAGCCGUGCGCUAUGGAAAAAUCCUGAAAGGCCUUGGGUUGGAUCAGAGCUGCCAUGCGUUGUCACUAACAGAGCUCUUUUCAACGCUGCAACAAUGGUAACCAUUGGUGACAGCACGACGGCCUCCUUCGGGGACUGCUCCUGGAUGGGUUCUGCCACCCUAAGGAUCGCCUUCCCGCUGCUCUUGAAGCACUCACGGAGAAAAAAACAGAAGCGCAAAAGAUGCCCUUGCUGGCGACACUUGGAUCAAUGACCUGGCUCAUGGGGAUACAGCAUAGUACAACUGCUCUGCUCCAUGAGUUCAUCGCUCUGCGGACAUGGCUACGAACAAAAGACAUUCAUCUACAUGAUGGCAUUCCGGAUUCGAUCCAAUGGAGAUAUGAGCCAAACAGAUUAUACUCCACAAGCUCGGUCUACAAACUGCAGUUCCAAGGAGUGACCAAACCUGCUAUAAAAAGCUGUUCUGGGAGGCUUGCUGAUCAAAAACAGAUUAUGGUGCAAUGACAGGCUACAGCGCCGAGGUUGGGCUAAUGGCUACUUCUGCCAUCUUUGUUUCAGAAACUUAAGAAUCGUGCUCCCAUCUUUACUGGCAGAAGUUGAAACCUGCUAAUGGUCAUACGUUAACUGUAAAUUCAUCACCUCGUAACUGUAAAUGUAGCUUAAUCACAUUGUUCAAGACAAUACAAUGUAGUGUUUACUUAGGGCUUGGUUUUACAUGACUGAUCUCACCAGAGUUGUACAGGAACGUCUGGUUUCCAGAUUAGGGGCUGAGAACAGCCUUGUCUGCUAUCAUGUGCUAUUGCUGACAGAUUAGGCAGUUGGUUUCAUCCCUCAUAGC
Triticum aestivum (bread wheat) is the source of this 4133-nucleotide RNA transcript. It is a transcript of the gene named B3 domain-containing protein Os03g0164300, with no coding region annotated. The transcript is spliced from 8 exons. The record is from RefSeq and is a predicted model, not a curated record. Lineage: Eukaryota; Viridiplantae; Streptophyta; Magnoliopsida; Poales; Poaceae.